GACGAACGCUGGCGGCGUGCUUAACACAUGCAAGUCGAACGGAGAGGCCCUGCUUUUGUGGGGUGCUCGAGUGGCGAACGGGUGAGUAACACGUGAGUAACCUGCCCUUGACUUUGGGAUAACUUCAGGAAACUGGGGCUAAUACCGGAUAGGAGCUCCUGCUGCAUGGUGGGGGUUGGAAAGUUUCGGCGGUUGGGGAUGGACUCGCGGCUUAUCAGCUUGUUGGUGGGGUAGUGGCUUACCAAGUCUUUGACGGGUAGCCGGCCUGAGAGGGUGACCGGCCACAUUGGGACUGAGAUACGGCCCAGACUCCUACGGGAGGCAGCAGUGGGGAAUAUUGCACAAUGGGCGGAAGCCUGAUGCAGCAACGCCGCGUGCGGGAUGACGGCCUUCGGGUUGUAAACCGCUUUCGCCUGUGACGAAGCGUGAGUGACGGUAAUGGGUAAAGAAGCACCGGCUAACUACGUG
RNAcentral lists this ribosomal RNA (468 nucleotides) under uncultured bacterium. Its description in RNAcentral is "partial 16S ribosomal RNA". It matches the Rfam family "Bacterial small subunit ribosomal RNA", at positions 28 to 507 of the family's 1533-position model. The record is from RNAcentral.